ACCCAACGGAUCAGGGAAUGUCUCGGUUACUCAAACUGAAAUAUCAAAUCAAAAAUGUAAAAGAUGAUGCUAACUGUGUGACCACGAACCCCAGAACGACAGCUCAAAAGCAAAACCCGACGGAGAAUUCAAUGAAGAGGGGGGAGCUGGUUUUCUGAAGAACAGGAUGAAGGCUGAGCCUGUUCCUCAUUGGCUCAUUAUACCACAGCAGAGGGAGACAGUGGAUGUUGGGUACCUGUGCUGAUUUUCCUGGAAGAAACUAGAAACACCAGCCGUCACUCACGAAAUAAUGUUUUGUGGACAGAUGACUCAAACAUGAAACUUUUGGAUGACUUGUCCCCGUUUUGUCUGGCAAAAAACCAACAUUGCAUUCCUCACUAAGAACCACAACCACUUGGAAAUACAAUGUUCUGCAAUGAAUAGCUGGACGGAGUUCCCCUUACUGCAGGAGGCGUUUGGUGACAGACAUAUCAACUAAAGGCAACAUUUUUACGUUUAACUGGGAAAUUAACUUUUUUACACAGCUGUGUUGGGUUUCAAAUAACAAAACAAGCGGAGCCCAAAGUGUCACCGGGUCCUGAAUGUGACAAACCUACGGAAUCACCAGGUCCUGAUUGUGGCAAACCUACAGAAUCACCAGGUCCUGAUUGUGGCAAACCUAAGGAAUCACCAGGUCCUGAUUGUGGCAAACCUACGGAAUCACCAGGUCCUGAUUGUGGCAAACCUAAGGAAUCACCAGGUCCUGAUUGUGGCAAACCUACAGAAUCACCAGGUCCUGAUUGUGGCAAACCUACGGAAUCACCAGGUCCUGAUUGUG
Molecule: long non-coding RNA, 817 nt
Organism: Esox lucius (northern pike)
Lineage: Eukaryota; Metazoa; Chordata; Actinopteri; Esociformes; Esocidae
Source: Ensembl